AACUCAGUCUUGGACACCAAAGUCCUUUAUUUACCCACAGGACAGACAGCAGGGACAACAGCAGUGCAAGCUUUUCCCAUGCUGUCCAUUACCAGUGUGCCUCAACCAUAGCCAAGAGGGAAUACCUCUAAUAGCUGGGAACAGGGCCGGCUCUAGGCACCAGCAAAACAAGCUGGU
RNAcentral lists this small RNA (177 nucleotides) under Chrysemys picta bellii (western painted turtle). Its description in RNAcentral is "TUC338 (ENSCPBG00000006145.1)". Lineage: Eukaryota; Metazoa; Chordata; Testudines; Emydidae. The record is from RNAcentral.